UACGGAGGAUGCAAGCGUUAUCCGGAAUCAUUGGGCGUAAAGCGUCCGUAGGUGGCAUCUCAAGUCCAGUUUCAAAGACCGAAGCUCAACUUCGGAAAGGGAGUGGAAACGGGGAAGCUAGAGUAUAGUAGGGGUAGAGGGAAUUCCUAGUGUAGCGGUGAAAUGCGUAGAGAUUAGGAAGAACACCAGUGGCGAAGGCGCUCUACGGGGCAUAUAAUGACACUGAGGGACGAAAGCUAGGGGAGCGAAAGGG
Molecule: ribosomal RNA, 253 nt
Filed under: uncultured bacterium
Lineage: Bacteria
Description: partial 16S ribosomal RNA
Rfam family: Bacterial small subunit ribosomal RNA
Source: RNAcentral